This is a long non-coding RNA of Myotis daubentonii (Daubenton's bat), 679 nucleotides long. RefSeq lists it as uncharacterized. NCBI's taxonomy places the organism in Eukaryota, Metazoa, Chordata, Mammalia, Chiroptera, Vespertilionidae. The record is from RefSeq and is a predicted model, not a curated record. The transcript has 3 exons.
AGGAUCCCCCAGAAGAGGCCGUUUCUGCUGGUAGGGCCUUGAAGAGCCCCACUGCGGCACCGGCACCUCUGGACAAAGGAGUCCCAGUCCAGCCGGCUGGUCCCUCUCUCCUGCUGCUCCUUCACACCCCCAGGAGACUGGGGGAAGGUGCACAGGAGAGCAAAAGUCACAUACGCAGUGCUGUUGAGUUCUUCAUCAGCAAGCUCCUUGAGACCAGGUCUUCUACACAAAACCUAAAUACUCUGGACGUGCUUGCUGAUUUGGUUGAGCUGUUGUGAUGGACUGAAUGUUUGUGUUCCCCCAAAAUUCCUCUGUUGAGAUCCUAACCCCUAAUGUGAUGGUAUUUGGAGAUGGGGCCUUUGGGAGGUGAUUAGGUCAUGAGGCCCACAAAUGGGAUUAGGGCCCUUAGAAAGAGACCCCGGAGAGCUCUCGUGCCCCUUCUGCUAGCGGACAGCCAUCUGUGGGCCAGGAAGCAGGCCCUCACAGACAUUGAGUCCGCCAGCACCUUGAUCUCGGACUUCCCGGCCUCCAGAACUGCAAGAAAUAAAUUUCUGUUGUUUAUAAGCCUGUAAGUCUAUAGUAUUCUGCUAUAGUAGCCCGAAUUAAGACAUGCCAAAACAGGGGAACAAGUUGCUCAGCUGGUUAUAUUGUCAUCCCAAUACACCAAGGUUGUGGUUUG